UUGGAUAGCUCAGUUGGUAGAGCAUGAGGCUCGUAAUCUCAGAGUCAUGAGUUCAAGCCCCACACUGGGCAAAA
Podarcis lilfordi (Lilford's wall lizard) is the source of this 74-nucleotide non-coding RNA. Lineage: Eukaryota; Metazoa; Chordata; Lepidosauria; Squamata; Lacertidae. The record is from the annotation of a GenBank genome assembly.